GGGGAUUUAGCUCAGUGGUAGAGCGCUUGCCUAGGAAGCGUAAGGCCCUGGGUUCGGUCCCCAGUUCCG
Molecule: transfer RNA, 69 nt
Filed under: Rattus norvegicus (Norway rat)
Lineage: Eukaryota; Metazoa; Chordata; Mammalia; Rodentia; Muridae
Rfam family: tRNA
About the family: Transfer RNA (tRNA) molecules are approximately 80 nucleotides in length.
Source: Rfam by way of RNAcentral